Molecule: long non-coding RNA, 1929 nt
Organism: Microplitis demolitor
Lineage: Eukaryota; Metazoa; Arthropoda; Insecta; Hymenoptera; Braconidae
Exons: 2
Source: RefSeq, a predicted model, not a curated record
UUUUUUUUUAUUAUUUAUUAUUAAAUGAUAGAAUCAAGCUGAAAAAUAAAUUGUCAUCUUGAAGAUCAACGACUGAAAAAUAUCUGGACAUCUUUUUCCGUCAAUUGCCAAGAUUUUAGAUGUUAAUUACUCACUAUCGGACUAAAUACAUAUUGAGAUAAUUUAUUCACGGUCAGUGGAAUUAAUCGAAAAACAGAUACAGGAUACCGAGCCGUAAAUAAUAUAAAUAAACUGAUAUUUUACAGAAUUACGAUGCCAAUACUUUCAUAUUAAAAUAAAAAUAGCCAAUAGUAUCGCUAAUGCCAUAAAAAAAGUAUAUAAAUAUAUAUAUAAAUAAAUAUCUACCAUUAGAGUAUUUUUUCCCAAACAAUAGGUAUAACAAUUACAACUAUAAAGAUAAAUGAAUAAUUGUAAUAAUGAAAAAAUAAUGAAGUAUAAUCAAACUAAAUGACAAACUAGUCAAUUUAAAACUGAUACUCAAAAGUAUUAAUCAUUUAUUUUUUCAUUAAUUCUACAUAAUUUUUAAAAAUUGAAGUUAUGUAUUAUUUUUUAAUUUACGAGUUACCAUUUAAAUAAAUUGUUAUUUUGAUUUUUUAAAAAAGUUAGAUUUUAUAUUGCAACCAAUGCAAUUGUUUAAGGAAAAUUAAAUGAUGUAAUGUGUAAAUUUAUCUUAACUACACGGUGGAAUUAUUCUCGGUGGAAAUUCUAUGGUGUCGUAAAGCCGUACCAUGCUGGCCACCUGAUGGAAAUUCAAAUAAACCCAUAGAAAAAUUACUGUAACCAUUGAAAAGUUUACGGUAGCCACAGUAAUUUUUCUAAGGGUUUAUUUAAAUUUUUUGUAAGGUAGCCAACGUGGUCCGACUUUACUAUAACACCAUAACAUUUUAAACAAGAAUAAUAUUCCGUGUAAAAACAUGUAAACCAGAAGACUGAAGAUACUAUUAUAAUGCUUGCAAGUUGUAAUAUAGAUUAGAUGUCAAGAAAAAAAAAUUAUCUAGUAAAAAUUUUCGAGUACUGCGUAACGAUUAUGACUGAAAUUAUUUUUAUUUAUUAUUGUUAUUGUAAUUAUUACUUUAGCCUAAAUUGUCAGUAAAAGAUCUCUAAACUUUUGUGAUUUGAGGUCAUUCCUAGAUGAUGUUUCCACUUUUUCUAUUAAUAAAAUUAUUCGUGUCAUAAAAAAAAAGUUGAAGAACUUGUUAAAAAACAGUGUGGUUUAAAUUUUGAUAGAAUAGAUUUUUAAAAAAGUAAUUGUGUUGAAUUAUUUUUAACGAAAUUUGUUGAAUAAAUUCGAGCCUAGAAAUUUUAAAUUGCACUUUUGCCCUGAAAAUUUUGAUGCGAUUAAUAAAUAUAUCGAAUGAUAUUUAAUAGAAAAAAUUAGAAGCAACAUCUAAGAAUGUCCUUAAAAAAAAACAUUCAUAAAAUAAAAUUUUCAUUCUUUUACUUGAUACCUGAUCUGGGAACUGUGAUUCGACAGUUUUGCACUUAAUCUAUCUAUAAAUAUGUGCCUACAAAAGGUAUUACAAAAAGCCACAUGGCGAUUGCCAAAAAAAGUAAAAAAUAAAAAUAAAAAAACUUAACAACAAAAAUAGUUGAACACUUUAACGAAUUUAAAAAAGUUUACGAAUUAAAUGAUUAUCUAUUUUUAUUUAUAAUAGACUAGUUGUAUAUUUUUUCAGCUUGUUUAUUUAUUGUAAGCCCACCGACUCUUCUUAUAUAUUUUUUUUUACUUAACUAAUUUUUUUCUUAUUAGUUUAUAUUUUUUAAUUUUUUUUUUUUUUAUUAUAAAAGUCUGAUAGACGUAAGAUCAAAGUAUUAAGAGUGUGAUGUGUGUAUAGUAUGUAUGUAAUUAAUUAAUUAAUUGAUUAGUUGAUAAGAUUUUUUGUUUAAUUUAUUAAUUAAAGAAGCCUUGAACGGCAAAUCAGGACAUGA